RNAcentral lists this ribosomal RNA (2187 nucleotides) under Triticum aestivum (bread wheat). RNAcentral's name for it is "partial small subunit ribosomal RNA". Lineage: Eukaryota; Viridiplantae; Streptophyta; Magnoliopsida; Poales; Poaceae. The record is from RNAcentral.
AUGGAAAGCAUGAGGAUCUCCCUGCUCUCCCUUCUCCCGUUCCUUCUCCUCGCGAUCGCCGCCGAGGCAACCGGCGACGACCUCAGCACGUUCAUCGUCCACGUGCAAGCGGAGGAGAACCGCGUGUUCGGCACCGCGGACGACCGGAAGGCGUGGUACCACUCGUUCCUCCCCGACCAUGGCCGGCUCGUCCACGCGUACCACCACGUCGCCAGCGGAUUCGCGGCCCGGCUGACGCAGAGCGAGCUCGUGGCGAUGUCCGCCAUGCCCGGGUUCCUCAGCGCGACCCCUGACCGGACGUACACGACGCUGACGACGCACAUGCCCGAGUUCCUUGGGCUGAAUGGGCGCUGCAACUUCAACUGCACCUCGUGCAACAACAAGCUCAUCGGCGCGCGCAACUUCGUCGCCACACUCAACGGCCCGAACGGGACUGACGCGCGGGUGCUGCCGGUCGAUGACUUUGGGCACGACACUUACACCGCGAGCACCAUGGCGGGAGCGGUCGUGCCGGGCGCUAACAUGCUCGGCCAUGCGUCGGGCAUCGCCUCCGGGAUGGCGGCACGCGCGCACAUCGCCAUGUACAAGGUGUGCGAUCUUAACGGAGGGUGCGAGGCGUCCGACAUACUGGCCGGUGUUGACGCCACCGUGGGCGACAGCUGCAACGUCAUCUCCAUGUCUCUCGGCGGGCCGUCGGUACCCUUUGACCAAGAUCCUAUCGCCAUCAGGACGUUCGGCGCGAUCGAGAAGGGCAUUUUUGUGAGCAUUGCUGCUGGCAACUCCGGCCCCGGAGAGAGCACCGUGAAAAACAAGGCUCCAUGGAUGCUCACCGUCGCCGCGAGUACCAUGGACCGCUCCAUCCGUUCGAUCUUUUCGUACCUCUGGCUGGUGGUGGAAUGUACGGAGCGUGAUCCUUCCCCUUGGCCGCUGGAGCAGACCGACUGCCCUCAGCCCGGCGCGAAGCUCGUCCAUGUCGACGCCAAUCGACAGCUUGAGGUCGUCGAUGCGCGUCGUCAGAUCGCCCACGAUGGACCGCAUCGACUUGGCCGCCUCCUCCUCUUGGCGCUUGAAGCGUACGUCGAGGGACUCCGCCAGGUCGGCCUUGAGGAACUCGUACACCGCCUUCGUUGCCGGCGACAUGCUCUCCAUGACUUCGCGGCGUCGGCGCGCCGCGAAUCUCGUCACGUGGGGAUGAUGGAGCGGAACUUGUUGCACCAGGAUCGAAGCUCUGAUGCCAGUUAACGUCCUACCGGCGUCGAGCGUCGACUACCUCACGGGUGUAGCCAUCAAAUCUUACCUGGGAGGACAGCUCCCAGUGGCGACUAUCGGCUUCAAGGGCACAAUGUUGGGCCCGUCACCUGCUCUCCCUCGAUCGUUUUCUUCUCAUCUCGUGGGCCUAGCCGCCAGGGCCCUGGCAUUCUGAAGCCCGACAUCACGGGGCCCGGGGUGAACAUGCUCGCCGCAUGGCCGUUUCAGGUCGGGCCGCCGUCGGCACCAGUUCCCUCCGGACCGACCUUCAACAUCAUCUCGGGUACGUGCAUGUCGACACCGCACCUCGCCGGCAUUGUGGCGCUGAUCAAGAGCAAGCACCCGGACUGGUCACCAGCGGCGAUCAAGUCAGCCAUGAUGACGACGGCCGACAUCACCGACCGCUCCGGCAAUCCCAUACUCAACGAGCAGCGUGUGGCGGCCAACUUCUUCGCCACUGGCGCCGGACACGUCAAUCCAAUCAAGGCCGCUGACCCUGGCCUGGUCUACGACAUCACCCCCGAGGAUUACAUCGGCUACCUCUAUAGCAUGUACACGAGCCAGCAGGUCACGGUGAUCGCGCGCCGGCCGAUCGACUGCUUGACCACCUUGGUGAUCAGCGACCUGUUGAAUUACCCGUCGAUCUCGGUCGCUUUUCCGGCGACCUGGAAUUCGACAGCGCUGGUAGUCGUGAGGCGCAAGGUGAAGAACGUUGGGGAGGUGCCUUCGGUGUACUAUGCGGCGAUCGACAUGCCGAGCAGUGCGGUAAGCGUGGACGUAUAUCCGAGGGCGCUGGAGUUCAUGGAAGCAAACCAAGAGGUGAUCUUUUUGGUAUACAUGUGGCCGAGGCAGAGUGGUGCAACGGUGGUGCAGGGUGCUCUACGGUGGGUAUCCCAAAAGCAUACUGUGCGGAGCCCAAUCUCCGUCACCAUUGCUUGA